RNAcentral lists this ribosomal RNA (427 nucleotides) under uncultured marine bacterium. RNAcentral's name for it is "bacterial SSU rRNA". It matches the Rfam family "Bacterial small subunit ribosomal RNA", at positions 360 to 803 of the family's 1533-position model. The record is from RNAcentral.
AAUAUUGCGCAAUGGGGGAAACCCUGACGCAGCAACUCCGCGUGGAGGAUGAAGGUUUUCGGAUUGUAAACUCCUUAACUGGGGGAAGAGGAAGGUCGGUACCCCAGGACGAAGACACGGCUAACUAGGUGCCAGCAGCCGCGGUAAUACCUAGGUGUCAAGCGUUAUCCGGAAUUACUGGGCGUAAAGGGUGCGCAGGCGGGGAUACAAGUCUGGCGUGAAAGCUCCUGGCUUAACUGGGAGAGGACGGCGGAAACUGUAUGGCUAGAGUGAAUGAGAGGGGGGCGGAAAUCCCGGUGUAGUGGAAGAAUGCGUUGAUAUCGGGAACAACACCAGAGGAGAAGGCGGCCUCCUGGCAUAUUGCUGACGCGGAGGCACGAAAGCGUGGGUAGCGCACACGAUUUGAUACCCCGGUAGUCCACGCCUA